RNAcentral lists this long non-coding RNA (265 nucleotides) under Coturnix japonica (Japanese quail). RNAcentral's name for it is "lncRNA (ENSCJPG00005009252.1)". The record is from RNAcentral. Lineage: Eukaryota; Metazoa; Chordata; Aves; Galliformes; Phasianidae.
AUGUCCUAGAUCGAUCACUACUUGAAUAAUCCAGAGAGCCCAGCAGAUUUAACACCUGUGAGACUUCUAGAUCUGCAACUGACUCAAGCACCCUACAGUAAUGUGCUUCGACCCCAGGUUUCUUCCUUCACAAAGAAAAUCUACAAUAGGUUCUGUUGGUCCAGCUAUCCCACAGGGAACCGGAAGACAGCUCUGACUUACUAGAAACUCAGUCAUGGAGCCAUUCAAUUAACUGUGCUAUAAUAAAAGGUCAAAUGACGCACCA